ACUUUGUUCUCUAUUCUCUCACAAUUCCCUCAGCUUCUCAUCCUGUACGUGCUGUAUUUUCUUGGCUUUCUGCUACUUUGAGUUGUUCCGAAAUGGCUGAUCAAAUUCCAUUCGGUGUUGUGGAGCACAUUUUGACCAAGUUGGGGUCCAAGGCGUUUCAAGAAAUUGGAUCCAUGUAUGGUGUUCCAAAGGAGAUGACCAAGCUCAAUGGGAAACUGGGCACCAUCAAGGCUGUGCUUUUGGAUGCUGAGGAGAAGCAGCAACAGCAGAGCAAUCGUGCAGUCAAAGAUUGGGUCCGGAGGUUCAGAGGUGUUGUUUAUGACGCAGAUGACUUGGUGGAUGACUAUGCAACCCAUUAUCUUCAGCGAGGAGGAUUGGGAAGGCAGGUCAGUGACUUCUUCUCAUCUGAAAAUCAAGUUGCUUUUCGUUUAAACAUGAGUCAUAGACUCGAAGAUAUCAAAGAAAGGAUAGAUGAUAUUGCAAAAGAAAUCCCCAUGUUAAAUCUGACUCCACGGGACAUAGUACUACACACACGGGUGGAGAAUAGUGGGAGAGACACCCAUUCAUUCGUGUUAAAAUCUGAAAUGGUAGGAAGAGAAGAAAACAAAGAGGAGAUAAUAGGGAAGUUAUUGUCGUCCAAGGGUGAAGAAAAGCUUUCGGUUGUUGCCAUUGUAGGCAUUGGGGGGUUGGGUAAGACCACCCUUGCUCAAUUGGUAUACAAUGAUGAAAGAGUGGUCAAUCAUUUUGAGUUUAAGAUAUGGGCUUGCAUUUCUGAUGAUUCUGGUGAUGGUUUUGAUGUUAAUAUGUGGAUCAAAAAAAUUUUAAAAUCUCUGAAUGAUGGGGGUGCUGAAAGUCUGGAGACUAUGAAAACUAAGCUUCAUGAAAAAAUAAGUCAAAAGAGGUACUUGCUAGUCCUCGAUGAUGUUUGGAAUCAAAAUCCUCAACAAUGGGAUCACGUGAGAACUUUAUUAAUGGUUGGUGCUAUAGGUAGUAAAAUUGUAGUAACCACCAGAAAACCUAGAGUUGCAUCACUCAUGGGAGAUUAUUUUCCAAUUAAUUUGAAAGGUCUUGAUGAAAACGAUUCUUGGAGGUUGUUUUCAAAAAUCACAUUUAAAGAUGGAGAGAAGGAUGUGCAUACAAACAUCACCCAAAUUGGAAAAGAAAUUGCAAAAAUGUGUAAGGGAGUUCCUCUCAUUAUUAAGUCUUUAGCAAUGAUAUUGCGGUCUAAAAGAGAACCGGGGCAGUGGUUGUCUAUUAGAAACAAUAAAAAUUUGCUGUCACUCGGAGAUGAAAAUGAGAAUGUUGUAGGGGUGCUGAAAUUAAGUUAUGAUAAUUUGCCAACUCAUUUGAGACAAUGUUUUACAUAUUGUGCUUUAUUUCCAAAAGACUAUGAGAUUGAGAAAAAGUUGGUGGUACAACUAUGGAUAGCACAAGGUUAUAUUCAAUCUUCAAAUGAUAAUAAUGAGCAAUUAGAGGAUAUAGGGGAUCAAUAUUUUGAGGAAUUAUUGUCAAGGUCAUUGUUGGAAGAGGUUGAAGAUGAUUUUGCUAAUACAGUAAUGUAUAAAAUGCAUGACCUUAUACAUGAUCUUGCACAAUCAAUUGUAGGAUCUGAGAUCCUUGUUUUAAGAAGUGAUGUAAAUAAUAUUCCAAAAGAAGCUCAUCAUGUAUCAUUGUUUGAAGAGAUAAAUCUUAUGAUCAAGGCUCUAAAGGGAAAACCCAUAAGAACCUUUCUUUGUAAAUAUUCUUAUGAAGAUAGUACAAUUGUAAAUUCAUUUUUUUCGAGUUUUAUGUGUCUACGUGCGUUGAGUUUAGAUGAUAUGGAUAUAGAGAAGGUGCCAAAGUGUUUAAGUAAAUUGAGUCAUUUAAGGUAUCUUGAUCUUUCCUACAACAAUUUCGAGGUACUUCCAAAUGCUAUUACAAGGUUAAAGAAUUUGCAAACACUAAAACUCACAAGCUGUCGAAGAUUAAAAAGAAUUCCAGACAAUACAGGAGAAUUGAUCAAUCUUAGACACUUGGAGAAUGAUAGCUGUUAUAACUUGGCUCAUAUGCCACAUGGAAUCGGCAAGUUGACUUUACUUCAAAGUCUACCAUUGUUUGUGGUUGGGAAUGACAUAGGGUUAAGGAAUCACAAAAUUGGUAGCUUGAGUGAAUUGAAAGGCCUUAACCAACUAAGAGGAGGGUUAUGCAUAAGUAAUCUUCAAAACGUGAGGGAUGUUGAACUGGUAUCCAGGGGGGGAAUUUUGAAAGAAAAACAAUAUCUUCAGUCCUUGAGAUUGGAAUGGAAUCGGUGGGGCCAAGAUGGGGGGGAUGAGGGUGAUCAGUCAGUGAUGGAAGGCCUUCAACCACACCAACAUCUAAAGGAUAUCUUUAUAGACGGGUAUGGAGGUACGGAGUUUCCAAGUUGGAUGAUGAAUAGCCUGCUUCCUAACCUAAUUAAAAUUGAAAUUUGGGGAUGUUCAAGAUGCAAAAUUCUGCCACCCUUUUCUCAACUCCCUUCUCUCAAGUCUUUGGGGCUUCAUGAUAUGAAAGAAGUGGUGGAGUUAAAGGAGGGUUCAUUAACAACGCCACUCUUCCCAUCUCUUGAAUCGCUCGAACUCUCUUUCAUGCCAAAGUUGAAGGAAUUGUGGAGGAUGGACUUACUAGCAGAGGAAGGUCCUUCCUUUUCUCAUCUUUCUCAAUUAAAGAUCAGUUAUUGCCAUAACUUGGCAUCCUUGGAACUGCAUUCUUCUCCUUCUCUUUCUCAAUUAGAGAUCCAUUAUUGCCCAAACUUGACAUCCUUGGAACUGCCGUCAUCUCUUUGUCUUUCUAAUUUAUAUAUCGGAUAUUGCCCUAACUUGGCAUCCUUGGAACUGCAUUCUUCUCCUUGUCUUUCUCGAUUAGAAAUCAGGGAAUGCCCUAACUUGGCAUCCUUCAAAGUGGCUCCAUUACCUUAUCUUGAGACACUAUCUCUGUUCACAGUUAGAUAUGGUGUGAUAUGGCAGAUAAUGUCUGUCUCUGCUUCAUUGAAGUUUCUGUAUAUUGAAAGCAUAGAUGAUAUGAUAUCUCUCCCGAAGGAGCUACUUCAACAUGUUUCUGGCUUGGUAACGUUACAGAUCCGUGAGUGUCCUAACUUGCAAUCCUUGGAACUGCCCUCAUCUCCUUCUCUUUCUGAAUUAAGGAUCAUAAAUUGCCCUAACUUGGCAUCCUUCAAUGUGGCAUCAUUACCUCGUCUUGAGAAACUAAGCCUGCGUGGAGUCAGAGCAGAGGUACUGAGGCAGUUAAUAUUUGUCUCUGCUUCUUCUUCAUUGAAGUCUCUGCGUAUACGGGAGAUUGAUGGUAUGAUAUCUCUCCCAGAGGAGCCGCUUCAAUAUGUUUCCACUCUCGAAACUCUCUACAUUGUUAAGUGCUCUGGUUUGGCAACAUUACUACACUGGAUGGGCAGCCUUUCCUCGCUUACGGAACUUAUUAUUUAUGACUGCUCUGAAUUGACAUCACUGCCAGAAGAGAUCUGUUCCCUUAAAAAACUGCAGAAAUUUUAUUUCUGUGAUUAUCCACACCUAGAGAAAAGAUACAACAAGGAAACAGGUAAAGACCGGGCCAAGAUUGAUCAUAUCCCACGUAUUAAUUUCCAAAGUGAUCGAGUUAUGGAAUAUAAGUUGUACAUUCUAAGAGUUUGAGGAAAUACUGAGGUCUGGUAUGAUAACUCUCAAUCCUUGGAACUGCAUUCAUCUCCUUCUCUUUCUCGAUUAACGAUCCAUGAUUGCCCAAACUUGGCAUCAUUACCUCGUCUUGAGGAACUAAGCCUGCGUGGAGUCAGAGCAGAGGUACCGAGGCAGUUCAUGUUUGUCUCUGCUUCUUCUUCAUUGAAGUCUUUGCAUAUACGGAAGAUUGAUGGUAUGAUAUCUCUCCCAGAGGAGCCGCUUCAAUAUGUUUCCACUCUCGAAACUCUACAUUGUUAAGUGCUCUGGCUUGGCAACAUUACUACACUGGAUGGGCAGCCCUUCCUCGCUUACGGAACUUAUUAUUUAUGACUGCUCUGAAUUGACAUCACUGCCAGAAGAGAUCUAUUCCCUUAAAAAACUGCAGAAAUUUUAUUUCUGUGAUUAUCCAGACCUGGAGGAAAGAUACAAGAAGGAAACAGGUAAAGACCGGGCCAAGAUUGCUCAUAUCCCACGUGUUCGUUUCAAGUGUGAUUUCAAAUUGAAAUGGAAGCUUGGAUGCGCUUUCCGAUGAUGUGCACUAAACUAACCAUUUUACUUGGAGUUGUACAUUCUUAGAGUUUGAGGAAAUACUGAGACCCAAGAAUACAUAGGGCCACACUUGGUGAAGGUUUCAUCAGUAAGGAGAACCAUUUCAAAGUUUGUAGAAGAGAAGAAAGAUUUGAUCCAAGAUAUUCCUAAAGAUCGGAAAAUUUCAAAGCCACCCAAGAUCGCACAGCCUACCUUAAUAAUUUGGGGAGACCAAGAUAAGGUAUUCCUAGUAGAACUGGCUCACAAAUUGAAAAGGCAUUUCAGGCGAGGAGACCCAACUUGUGAUCAUAGAGCAUACUUUUAUCAUAGAGAAGCCCAAGGAAAUAUUUAAGCACUUGAAAUCAUUUCUCAUUGAUUUGCUUCCACCUCCCAAGCAACACCUAGAACCACUCCCACCAUGACGAAGUUAAAAGAACUUGGAAUUCAUGGCUACCCUGAAUUGACAUCCCUGGCAGAAGAUAUGUUCCCUCAAAAGCCUGUAGACACUAAAACAAUUUGCAUAUGUUCACACUUAGAGGAAAGAUGCUGAAAGGAAAAGUGAAGACUAAGCGAAGAUUGCUUAUAUCCCACAAAUUGAUAUCAUACAUCCAUGAAGAUUGAACUGAUACAAAAUGCCUUUCAG
Molecule: RNA transcript, 4851 nt
Organism: Vitis vinifera (wine grape)
Lineage: Eukaryota; Viridiplantae; Streptophyta; Magnoliopsida; Vitales; Vitaceae
Gene name: putative disease resistance protein RGA4
Exons: 8
Source: RefSeq, a predicted model, not a curated record